CAACUCAGCUGGAGGAUUAAGAGAGUAGAAGGAGCAUAUUGGGAUCUCCGAGAGGAGCGUGAGGUGCUUAGGAUCAACGUCCGGGGAGGAGCGUGCGACCUAGACAGCGCCGUCGAGGGCGGCCGGCGGAUGAUGAUGACGGACGAAAAGCGCCGCCGCCGGCCCGAGUAGCCGCCGCAGCGCGUGAUAUACGAAGGAGCCUUCGCCCUCUAGCAGCGGUCGCUCCAGCUCUUGAACGUCUUCUUUUGGGCGGGACGACGGCGGCUGCUGCGGUACCGGUCCGGGUGCCUCUAGCUGCUCCUGGAGGUGUCGGCGGUCGAGCGGCAUAUGCCGGCGCUCUGGUACUUCGCGGAGAAGCGGAGGUUGCAGGAGCAGAGGCCUGAGGUCCCGGAGCCGCGGCUUUAGCGUUUCUUGGAACACGAACGCCCACAGUUCAGACAUUGAAACGUACUACUACCAUUACACCUCGAUACCCUGAACAGGUCGUUGAAAAAGGAGAGUCUCUUCCUACAACCCGUUUUGGCACGAGUUCGAACACAAGACUUCGAUGUUCUAGAAUUGUUACGACAAUAGUAGAGGUGAGAUUGACCACUAAACUGGUUCCUUGUGGAAAGUUUCAAGGUCCGACAUCAGAAGUGACUAUAGUGGAACCUUUUCCGUCAACUCAAACUACUAAUGACGGUGUUGGUAGUCGGUGGGUAACGAAAGUAAUUCAGACUUCAGGCACCAGAAAAACCGUCACAGAAAACACUAAAACCGGGACUCAAAUGACAAAACCUACAGCUACCUCUCCUUGGUGUAUGUCCUUAACACCGUAGCUAGUCAUUACUGUUGGGUCGCGAUCAGAGGACACAGCUACUACUCGCUGACCUCAAGGUCCUACCACUGAAUCAACAUAAGAGACUUCAAGUACCUUACUGACUCGACUUACUACCUUUUGGUUCUUUCCAAUUCUUGCGGUCCGGAAUGAGAAAGAAAGACCUUCUUCUGUGAAGGAGUAAACCGUGUAUACAGUCUCCACCCUAACAGUGUGUCCAGUUCGGUGGUUUCCAAGAAUUUAAAUUUGGGAACUUUCUCCGGUACUUUCUUGGUCCUCUUAAAGAAUACUCACUAAAGAGAUUCAAACUGGCGGGGGGAGAGAACGUAAACCGAAAGGUUCGAAACCUAUUCAAGUCCUUACUUAACUCUGCUAAGGGACAGCGACCAAGAUGACUACUGCACGUUUCCGACCAUCUAAAUCGAUAAUCGUAAUUACUUUGAGACCCACUACCCUUUGAGCUUCUUUAACUGUUUUUCGAGGAUGCUGUAAAGCGUUCACCAAGGUCCCGACAAGACUUAGGAUACCGACGUUACAAACCACCAUAACAUCCAGUCCUCCAACACUUUCGUACGAGCCCCUUUAAAGUAGGCGAAAUAGUCAAGAAGAUAAAGCUAAGACAGCUCAGAGAGGGACAACUCGGAAACCUCGGACCACUAAACUUCGGUCUCUUGAGUUCUAUACUACGUGUCUAGUCACACAAACCUAGAUUCGAAGUUUUGUUUGACCUCGUCCGUUUUUAGAAAUACCAGCCGAGACCCCGCGAGCCCACACUUAAAGACUUCUUGGACCGUGACUACCCGUAAAGAACGUCGGUCUUACCUUUCGACUGACACUGUCUACUACUACAAUAACUUUUCUCGUUAGAGUCAGCGGUCAAGGAAAAGGCACUGACCUUGUAACCCGUCGGGUUCAGCUGACAACGACGAUGCCGACGGUACCGCUAAUUGGGAUUCGAAGUACAGCUCCGGGAAGUCUUGUCCCGUUCGGGACUCUGGCUUUUACAGAAAUUACUACGGAAAACCCUUUUGGAACUACGACAACAGUUACGGGAACUGUUACACUGACGUUCUUACAUGUAUCUGAGGGCUACACAUAUAAAGGUCUUCGGUGAAGAUCUUAGACCUUGAGAACCACGAUUUACGUUAUGUGUUUACCAGUAUGGAGUGAACUGUCUCUUGAUACCCCGCAGAUCUCUAGGUGGACUUUUCGUCCGUGGAUACACAUGACAUGUAAGUAAAGGAGUAUUAUAACUAGUGACGGACUGGACCCGAUCCAGACUUAAACUCCCAAAUGAACUCUUCUGAGGGUGACUUCAUUUACCAAAGGACAGUUUAGGAUCACGUAUACAUCGACGUCGUGCUUGACGACCACUACGUGUUCGAUCCCUAGUCGAACUUGCACAAUAACUUACGGAAGUACCUCUGUUCACACUCUGUAAGGUUCUAACAUAAUGGACCCGGGCAGAAUUCAAACUCCUAAUAAAGAGGUUGGCACACUUCGUCGACUGCAUAUGAAAGGGUCUUCUGAGCUACUGAUCGAGACCACGAGGUAAGACCAGACGUGGUUUCGCCAAAGGUGCUGGAGAACUUAAGAGCAGCUGUCUAGGUUCAGUCGAAUUGAAAUAAAAUCGACGAAGCUAUGAUUCCCGUCUCUGUAAACCUUAUGGGUAUGGACUGACCCGGUUUUGAGGUUUGUUUCACCGACGACUUCGACAACUGUUCCACUAACAAGGACUUAAGGUUGGUUUUGUCCCCCAAUUCUAUCAAUGUCUACUCUUCCGUUGAUCAUAUAGCAGACGUAGACAACUACUACGACCACAGUAACUCCUCGAAUAGUGCUUCGAUCUUGUUUAGAGGUUUUGUGACGGUGGCCCCAAGGUGUACUUGGGUUAUGUCAAACUCUUCCUACUACUGUGGUUAAAGGUAUACCUGCACUAUCGACCAAAACGUUUGUACUCCCGCUCCUUAAUGUCGUAAGGACUUCACCUGUUUGACUUCCGAUUUAAGUAUCGGCCGUCCUAAUAGGGACGGUAACGGUGUCGUUGGCGUUACCGGUGACCGGAGCAGACAGAUCUCGAAAUGUUUCAGGAACGGCCGCCCGUGUUCCAACUUCUGAUGGCGUUGUGCAAACGUUUGGACCGUUAGGGGGAGAAGAGGUAACGGCUCGGCCAGGGUGGGUUCUGGUAGUUCGUGUUCCUGAACAGCACCUGCCAGACCCUGGCCACCUGGCAUUGUCCGUUGUAGUGCAAUGUCCUCGAGGACCUUACCGAGUUCCUCUUCCCCAACUUGCGUAUGUCGUAUAGCACGCCGUGCAGCGACGACAUGUUGAGGUACAAGGGGUCCGUGUUCCUCGCCAACCUGUCCUUCCACCAGCUGCAACGAUCCCUCCACCGGUUCUACCUCCACGGUAGCAUAGCCGCGGUAGACCUACAACACCAUCGGACACUCCUACUGCUACUGUUACUGCAACUGUAGGGUGAGCAUAGACAGAUGAAGGCAACUUUCCGAAGGGAGACUUAACUGUAGUGGAGCACAGGGUAGAAAGGUUCGAGUCAAGUCUAGGAGCCCUUUUACUCCACAACUUGAACUAUGGCGUGGUGGAAUAUUAACUACGUACUGUGGCAACUUGACCUUACCGAACAGACAAAAGCACAAAUCGAGCGAUUCCUCACGUAGACGUUAUGUGUUCAAACGAACAACCUUCUUGCGACGUCUACUCGAGGGCUCGACUACAAAUUGAACUGUCCGGGAAUCCAUUACACUGAUUUUGGGGGAACAGGGGAGGGUUCGAUAACAUGAAGGAACGGUUUGAGUACCGUUCCGUGUGUUGUUGUCCAGACCAUGUGUUACUGUACGACAUAUCUUGGAUACUGACUCCGUAUCCCUUACUGAAAGUAAGAGAGAAAUAUAAGAUAGAAGCAGCCCAAAACUCAGAAUAAAUUGAAGUGUGGAACAUUGUGUCCGUUCUUGGGAAAGAAACUGACUAAGUAAAAUUUGAAGAAAUUUUGAAAUA
RNAcentral lists this ribosomal RNA (3832 nucleotides) under Triticum aestivum (bread wheat). RNAcentral's name for it is "partial small subunit ribosomal RNA". Lineage: Eukaryota; Viridiplantae; Streptophyta; Magnoliopsida; Poales; Poaceae. The record is from RNAcentral.